Molecule: ribosomal RNA, 436 nt
Filed under: Calanus marshallae
Lineage: Eukaryota; Metazoa; Arthropoda; Copepoda; Calanoida; Calanidae
Description: partial 16S ribosomal RNA
Rfam family: Bacterial large subunit ribosomal RNA
Source: RNAcentral
GCCGCGUUAGUGYUAAGGUAGCAUAGUAAUUAGUUUCUUAAUUGGGAAAUGGAAUGAAUGGUUUCACUAAAAUAUGAUAUUUAUUCUAAUUUGCGAAAUUUUAAUCUGAGUGAAAAUACUCAGAAGAUAUAUUUAGACGAGAAGACCCUAUGAAGCUGGUAGACUUCCAAUGUAAUUAUACUAUAGUUCAUGAGUUUAUUUUUUGGGGUAAAAUUUAAUAACAGUAUUAAUAUUGGCUUACUAAAUAAUAUCCUCUUGGAAUUAUGAAAAAGCUCCUCUAGGGAUAACAGCAUUAUGCUUAAAAGAGUUCUUAUCAGAAUAAGCGUUUGUGACCUCGAUGUUGAAUUAAAUACUCUUAUAUGUGCAGGAGCUUAUAAGAGAUGGUCUGUUCGACCAACUACAUUUACAUGAUUUGAGUUAAAAUCGACGCAAGUCA